Peromyscus maniculatus bairdii (prairie deer mouse) is the source of this 345-nucleotide non-coding RNA. NCBI's taxonomy places the organism in Eukaryota, Metazoa, Chordata, Mammalia, Rodentia, Cricetidae. The record is from RefSeq and is a predicted model, not a curated record.
CCCUCUCUCGGGGAAGCUAGGAGCACUGCAGGAGGCUCUACAUGCCACUGCCAGCUGGUACAUUGGAACGCUGUUGCUUAUUGCUUAAUACCUUCUAUUAGAUGUAUUUAUUAACAACAUGAUGAUAAUGAUGAUGAAGAUGGUGAUGAUGACAACACGGUAGAAAUGGAAAAAUCUGACUCCAAAAGGGGGAGGAAUACAUUGUCUUGAGAACAGAAGAGGAUUUUGGCCCACCUAGAAUCGGAGUUAAACAUAGUCCUGAGCCACCAUGUAGGUGCCCAGAAAUUAACCCAGGUCCUCUACAAGAGCAACAAGUGUUUUAACUACUGCAAUGUCUCUUCAGCU